This 1184-nucleotide ribosomal RNA is filed under the name Geocapromys brownii (Jamaician hutia). Its description in RNAcentral is "partial 16S ribosomal RNA". It matches the Rfam family "Bacterial large subunit ribosomal RNA", at positions 459 to 2582 of the family's 2925-position model. Lineage: Eukaryota; Metazoa; Chordata; Mammalia; Rodentia; Capromyidae. The record is from RNAcentral.
UAUAGGAGAUAGAAAUUUAAAGCGCUAUAGAGAUAGUACCGUAAGGGAAAGAUGAAAGAAAAAAAAUAAAGUACAUAAUAGCAUAGAUUACACCUAGUACCUUUUGCAUAAUGAGUUAACUAGAAAAUUUUGACAAAAAGCAUUUAAGCCAAACCCCGAAACCAAACGAGCUACCCUCAGACAGCUAUAAUUGAGCAAACUCGUCUAUGUGGCAAAAUAGUGAGAAGAUCUGAAGGUAGAGGUGAAAAGCCAAUCGAGUUUGGAGAUAGCUGGUUAUCCAAAUAAGAAUUUUAGUUCAACUUUAAAUUUUUCCUAAAUAAAAAUUUUAAUGAAAAUUUAUAUGUUAACUUAAGGGGGGACAGCCCCUUAAAGGAUACAUCCUUCAAUAGAGGGUAAAUAAUAUUAUUACCAUAGUAGGCCNNNNNNNNNNNNNNNNNNNNNNNNNNNNNNNNNNNNNNNACAAUUGGAUUAAUCUAUAUUAUAUAGAAGAGAUAAUGUUAAUAUCAGUAACAAGAAUAAUUCUCCUUGCACAAGUUUAAGUUAAAUAUUAACCAAUUAACAAUCUUAUAAAAAAUAUACUAACUAGUUAGUUAUAUUGUUAACCCAACUCAGGAGUGCAAAAAGGAAAGACCAAAAUAAACAAAAGGAACUCGGCAAACAUAAACCCCGCCUGUUUACCAAAAACAUCACCUCUAGCAUAACAAGUAUUAGAGGCAAUGCCUGCCCAGUGGUUCAACGGCCGCGGUAUCCUGACCGUGCAAAGGUAGCAUAAUCACUUGUUCCUUAAAUGGGGACUGGUAUGAAAGGCUUGACGAGGGUUUAACUGUCUCUUGUUUAUAGUCAGUGAAAUUGACCUUUCCGUGAAGAGGCGGAAAUAAUACAAUAAGACGAGAAGACCCUAUGGAGCUUAAAUUUUCUAGCUCAUAACAAUAUGUAAUCAAAACCAUGAGUUAACAAUUUUGGUUGGGGUGACCUCGGAGCAAAACCAAACCUCCGAAUGAUAUUAACCUAGACUACAAGUCAAAGUUUCUAAUUGACCCAGAACAUCUGAUCAACGGACCAAGUUACCCUAGGGAUAACAGCGCAAUCCUAUUUUAGAGUUCAUAUCGACAAUAGGGUUUACGACCUCGAUGUUGGAUCAGGACCCCCAAAUGGUGCAGCCGCUAUUAAAGGUUCGUUUGUUC